UGGGGAAUAUUGGGCAAUGGGAGGAAUCCUGACCCAGCGACGCCGCGUGAACGAAGACGGCCUUCGGGUUGUAAAGUUCUUUUAUGUGGGAAGAAUGAAUUGACGGUACCACAUGAAUAAGCCCCGGCUAACUACGUGCCAGCAGCCGCGGUAAUACGUAGGGGGCGAGCGUUGUCCGGAAUUACUGGGCGUAAAGGGCACGCAGGCUGUGUGUCAAGUCAGCUGUCAAAGGAUGCGGCUUAACCGUGUUAUGCAGUUGAGACUGAUGUACUGGAGUACCGAAGAGGCAAGUGGAAUUCCCAGUGUAGCGGUGAAAUGCGUAGAUAUUGGGAAGAACAUCGGUGGCGAAGGCGACUUGCUGGUCGGUAACUGACGCUGAGGUGCGAAAGCCAGGGGAGCAAACG
RNAcentral lists this ribosomal RNA (404 nucleotides) under uncultured bacterium. RNAcentral's name for it is "bacterial SSU rRNA". It matches the Rfam family "Bacterial small subunit ribosomal RNA", at positions 355 to 774 of the family's 1533-position model. The record is from RNAcentral.